Molecule: ribosomal RNA, 239 nt
Filed under: uncultured bacterium
Lineage: Bacteria
Description: partial 16S ribosomal RNA
Rfam family: Bacterial small subunit ribosomal RNA
Source: RNAcentral
GGGCGUAAAGCGCAUGCAGGUGGUUUGUUAAGUCAGAUCGUGAAAAGCCCGGGGCUCAACCUCGGAAUUGCAUUUGAAACUGGCAACUAGAGUACUGUAGAGGGGGUAGAAUUUCAGGUGUAGCGGUGAAAUGCGUAGAGAUCUGAAGGAAUACCGGUGGCGAAGGCGGCCCCCUGGACAGAUACUGACACUCAGACUGCGAAAGCGUGGGGAGCAAACAGGAUUAGAUACCCUGGUAG